Non-coding RNA from Cinara cedri, 376 nucleotides. The record is from the annotation of a GenBank genome assembly. NCBI's taxonomy places the organism in Eukaryota, Metazoa, Arthropoda, Insecta, Hemiptera, Aphididae.
AUCAAUAUCGUACAACUCACGAUACCUUACGAAACAAUAUCGGAAAAAUCGGAACGAUAUUGAUACCCAAAAUUAUAUCAUUACCCAUCACUAGUAAACGUAAAUACUGCAGCUGAUUAUAAAGGAUUACAAAUAGUGAAAAUUGGUUAAUUGUUUUUUGUGAAUAGCAGAAAGUAAAAGAUAGGUACUUAUUUGUAGGCACCCCAACCAGAGCACAGUAAAAAUGUAUACUUCUGCUGCUCUAAUUUGUUUUCGACCCACCACUAGUCAGUUAUACACUAUCAUAUACUAUACAUUAAUCAUUAAUCAAAAAAGAUUAUAGUAGUUAAAUGUUAUUCUUAUGAUAAUUAUAAACAAAUGUAAAUUUAAUAAUUGG